Molecule: small RNA, 90 nt
Filed under: Escherichia coli
Lineage: Bacteria; Pseudomonadati; Pseudomonadota; Gammaproteobacteria; Enterobacterales; Enterobacteriaceae
Description: partial RtT sRNA
Rfam family: RtT RNA
About the family: This family represents a bacterial cis-regulatory element known as RtT RNA. The exact function of RtT is unknown although it is thought that it may be involved in changing the cellular response in relation to amino acid starvation.
Source: RNAcentral
UCGGCUCGAGCGUCAGCGAGAGAGCGUUGCCGCAGGCAACGACCCGAAGGGCGAAGCGCGCAGCGCUGAGUAAUCCUUCCCCCACCACCA